Molecule: long non-coding RNA, 139 nt
Organism: Thalassophryne amazonica
Lineage: Eukaryota; Metazoa; Chordata; Actinopteri; Batrachoidiformes; Batrachoididae
Exons: 3
Source: RefSeq, a predicted model, not a curated record
UGUGUCAUCAAGCCUGAAGCUCUCACAAGUCUGGCUGUAAAGGCAGAGACUGCUCUGACCAACAGUUUCAACACGUGCACUGUGGUCUUAAAACAGUGAGUGGUAAUGUUUAAACAUGGGCACUCUGGGUUUAAAAACA